GUGCAGCAGUCGCGAAUUUUUCUCAAUGGGGGCAACCCUGAAGGAGCGACGCCGCGUGGAGGAUGAAGGCUUUCGGGUUGUAAACUCCUGUCAUUUGAGAACAAGUGCCAACAAGUAACUACUGUUGGCUUGAUAGUAUCAGAAGAGGAAGGGACGGCUAACUCUGUGCCAGCAGCCGCGGUAAUACAGAGGUCCCAAGCGUUGUUCGGAUUCAUUGGGCGUAAAGGGUGCGUAGGUGGCGUGGUAAGUCGGGUGUGAAAUUUCGGAGCUUAACUCCGAAACUGCAUUCGAUACUGCCGUGCUUGAGGACUGGAGAGGAGACUGGAAUUUACGGUGUAGCAGUGAAAUGCGUAGAGAUCGUAAGGAAGACCAGUGGCGAAGGCGGGUCUCUGGACAGUUCCUGACACUGAGGCACGAAGGCUAGGGGAGCAAACGGGAUUAGAUACCCCGGUAGU
This 455-nucleotide ribosomal RNA is filed under the name uncultured organism. RNAcentral describes it as "bacterial SSU rRNA". It matches the Rfam family "Bacterial small subunit ribosomal RNA", at positions 346 to 794 of the family's 1533-position model. The record is from RNAcentral.